This 340-nucleotide long non-coding RNA is filed under the name Mytilus galloprovincialis (Mediterranean mussel). Lineage: Eukaryota; Metazoa; Mollusca; Bivalvia; Mytilida; Mytilidae. The record is from RNAcentral.
UAUUUUUCUUCCACACAUUUUGUCCGCGCGAGUUCUCAGAAUUGAACUGACCAAUGUUUAUGGAACUCAACUAUAAUGAGGAACCCCACUUGAAGUUGUGCACCUUGCUAUGGAAUGGUAAAAGAUGGCCGCCGUUUCCAUGGAAACAGCACAAAUGCGAAAAAAAUCAAAGUGGUUCCAAACUGGAAGAAACUCCACAGGAAUGUUAACUGGCAUGUGCUGAUUUCCAGUUUGACUUUGGAAUUUUCAAAAUGGCUGCCGUUACCAUGGAAACAGCUAAAAUAUCAAAAAUUCUAACUCUUUCGUUAUAACAUCCAACUGGAUGAAACUUUAUGAAAAU